This 62-nucleotide transfer RNA is filed under the name Lotus angustissimus. Its description in RNAcentral is "partial tRNA-Leu". RNAcentral also lists the same sequence under 10 other names. Lineage: Eukaryota; Viridiplantae; Streptophyta; Magnoliopsida; Fabales; Fabaceae. The record is from RNAcentral.
UGGGGAUAGAGGGACUUGAACCCUCACGAUUUUUAAAGUCGACGGAUUUUAAGUCCGUAGCG